Zea mays is the source of this 4113-nucleotide RNA transcript. It is a transcript of the gene named glucuronosyltransferase - calmodulin-binding transcription activator pseudogene, with no coding region annotated. Lineage: Eukaryota; Viridiplantae; Streptophyta; Magnoliopsida; Poales; Poaceae. The record is from RefSeq and is marked validated. The transcript is spliced from 15 exons.
GUUUUGCAGGUACGAUUCGAUUGAUGACCUCAUCAGGGAAGAAUGUUUUGCAGUCUUACAUGAGUUAAAGGGAUAGAAAGUGCAACAACCGUGGAAUAAAGGACUCGUGCUUUUGAGUAAUUCAGGAGGAGUACAUGCAUCACGAAGCCUUGAUUCUGGAAUGGUGUCCAGUCGAAGGAACAGUGGGAUUAUCCUACGGGAAGGGUCGGUUAGGGACUGGUCCGAGUUCAACAAUCCCUCGCCGUCCCCAAAACUGCUGUACUCACAGUCCUAUGUCGCAAUGAGGGGGUUGCUGGCCUCAGUGAUCUCCUUGGACUUUUUCCUGCUGUCGAGCAAGCUAAAAUCUGUGUGCGCGGCUAUGACUUCCCAGAGGCAUAGCCGAUCACAGGAGAGGUCAAAAUCAAAGGGGUUGACCUGCAGGAGAGUUGCAGUCCAUCUGCUGUUCUUUUUCAUGGUUGGCAUUUUCAUUGGGUUCAUGCCUUUGUUCUCUGUCGAUGUUUACAAGAAAAUAGUAUCCGAAAACGAGAGGCUUCCGUUCCAUGAUGGUGUGAUUGAGGUGGAAAUGAUGGGCACCAAAGUUAAGGAGUUGGAGACAGUUGUAGUAGAGAAAGAGGUCGAACUGAUUGACGAGCCUCAGGUUCAAGAGAGCCCUCCAGUUCCUGCAAUGUUGGAUGAUGAGGCAGAUUUUGCUGAAUCUUCACCUGCAUUACCUGCUAUUGAAGAAUCUGACAUUCCUGUGAAGAAGCUGCUGAUAAUCGUGACGAUCACUUCUGUUCGGCCACAACAGGCAUAUUACUUGAAUCGGCUAGCCCAUGUUUUGAAAGCUGUACAGGCACCUCUUUUAUGGUUGGUGGUGGAAUGGCCUGAACAGUCCUAUGAAACAGCAGAAAUUCUGAGGUCUUCUGGGGUUAUGUACAGGCAUCUUAUAUGUAGAAAGAAUACCACGAGUGUACGAAAGAUUGCUGUAUGUCAAAGGAAUAAUGCAAUCUAUCAUGUCAAAAGGCAUCACCUUGAUGGUAUAAUGCAUUUUGCUGAUGAAGAGCGGUCAUACUCAGCUGAUGUAUUUGAAGAAAUGCAGAAGAUCAGUGGAUUUCCUUUCCUAGCAUCACCACAUGUAAAACAGGGGAGAUUUAAGAUCCAACACAUCAGCGAAGUGGCGCCCUUGCUGACACAAGAAUACGUCCAGGUCUCGUAGAACACCUAACGUUGGUAAGUACUCCUAAUAUGCAAGUGGUUAUGCUGAUGUUGAUGAAUCGAUUGGUAUUUUGAGACUUGUAUUAUGUCUCCUUUGAGCAGGUUUUAGUUUCACCAGGAUUGUGCAGUGAUCUAGGGAUUGCGUAUUAGGAUAUUGAGGAUGGGAUUUUCACAAAUUGCUAUAGUCCAAUUAUUUUCUUCCCUUCUACCCUGAUACAUGCCAGAUCAUCUGUUAUAAUGGUGUUUGCUGCUGGAGGCACAUCCCGAUUCGUCGAUAGGGCUGAGUGCACCUGCCUCAUUCACAAGAUAAACGACGCUCCGCGUCAGCAUCCUCCCCGUUCGCGAUUGGCUCGAGCGGCACCGAUGGAGCGACGACUCUGUUUCCCAGAAGGCGAAAGGACGAUGAGAUCGACAGACGAUUCGUGCCGAUCGCACACCGGUAGGCGGUGGCGAGCCGCGUGAGAUCUCUCGCGUCCUCCCGGUUCUCAGGGACCACGACGUCCACGCCGACGCGCACCUCUACAACGCGCUAAUGAAGGCGAACGUCGCGGCGGACGACCCCGGUGCCGUCCUCAGGGUGUUCCGGCAGGUUUCAGUUACUGGUACAUUCUUGGUGAAUAAAGAACAUGUGGAAAGUCACAGGUGGUCAUGUAUGUUUGGGGAUGUUGAAGUACCAGCUGAGGUUUUGACCGAUGGCACGCUACGCUGCUAUGCACCAGCACACCAAUCAGGAAGAGUUCCAUUUUAUGUGACCUGUUCAAACAUGGUGGCUUGUAGUGAAGUGCGAGAAUUUGAGUAUCGUGAUUCUGAAGCUCAUUACAUGGAGACUUCUCGUUCCCAAGCCAAUGGUGUAAAUGAAAUGCAUCUACACAUUCGUCUUGAGAAGCUACUCACUUUGGGGCCAGAUGACCAUCAAAUGCUUGCUAUAAAUUCCUUAAUGCUUGAUGGGAAAUGGUCAAAUCAAGAAUCUUCUGUCAAGGAAGUAGUUUCCACUGCUAGGGUCCAAAGUUUAAAGAAACUGGUGAAAGAGAAGCUGCAUCAAUGGCUCAUCUGCAAAGUAAACGAUGAUGGAAAGGGUCCCAAUGUUCUGUGCAAGGAAGGACAGGGUGUGAUUCAUUUAGUAGCAGCACUGGGUUAUGAUUGGGCUAUAAGACCGAUAAUAAUUGCUGGUGUCAAUGUGAACUUCCGGGAUGCUCAUGGAUGGACUACACUCCACUGGGUUGCGUCUUUGGGAAGAGAGCGGACAGUUAGUGUUCUCAUAGCAAAUGGACACAAGAUCCCGAUGCGGCAGUGGCGGACAGCAACGGGCGCUCAACGCCAUCGCGCCUCCUGCGAACCCAUGGUGAGAUGUGUGGUCUCGAUCUAGAGUCGAAGGACUUCCCCAACACCCUUUCCUCCAUCGGCGCGACAUCGGCCAGCUCAUCUGCGACGAUGAGGCAUCUUCGACCGACUUCCCAACACCCCAUCCUCCAUCAAUGCGGCUCCAGUACCCCUUCCUCCAUCGGCGCGACAGCAUCCAGUUCAUAUUGAAUUUCCUCUCAAUUGUUUUUAACUUUCUAAUUUAUUAAUCGCUGGUGUUAGAACAGGUAGGUGGCGGCUAAGAAAAAUGAAGAUGGUGGCAGCUAAGAAACUCUAAAGCCACUUCUGAUUCACAUAUGAUGCGACCACAGAAAUUGAAGAUGUCGUGACCUGGGAAUAGAUUCGGCAGAAGUGGAUUAUUUGCAUGCUCAAUCUAUGUUCAUUGCUGAAGUUACCUUUCAAAUUCAAAUUCUCGGGUAGAGCCACCUUUAAUUGUGAUGUACAGAGAUAUCAGUAUCAUUAUCUAAAAUAUUAUCACAGAACUGAGGAUGGAGAAAAAAGGUGGAGCAUCUUCAAACAAGAACAACCGGGUACGGUUCCUCAAAUCCUCUGUUUGGUGGAGCAUCUUCAAACAAGAACAACCGGGGAUGCUUCUAGCUCUGGUACUCUUUUUUGAUAACAGGAAGUUCAAGGAUGUGAAUUUUCCACCAGCUAUGUCUCCCCCAAAACGGUGGGAUCAUGUGUGGUAUGCUCUAACAGGGUAUGGUAUUGGCUUGGUAGCUGCACUAGAUGCUGGGAUCUUGUCUUAGUCUCCUCAACAGCCUUACUGUACCUGCAUGGAGCCAUGGUAUAGUGAUAGUGUGACCAGUUGCCCCCCCUCGAAAUCCACUCCUUUCUCAUCUAUAUUUGCUUCAGGUGAUGUCCAUGUCAACUGGGCUAGCCAACAUGAGUUUGAAACAUAACAGUUUGAUGAGGAAGUACUACUACUAUUACAAUUGAUGCUUCAGUUCUACGACUUCUUUCAAACCAAGCGUCCACACAUAUCUUGAGCAUUCUCACUGGGCUUCUGUCCUUCAUGAUGGACGAUGCACUGACAACUGGAAGCAUCAAGACAUCAGAUGCAGAAAAGAGGCGUUUAGCAAAAGCUUCCCUUGCCUACAAUUGUGAGAGCAAAAACUGUCCGCACUUCAGGAAACUUUUCCCAGAGUAUGUUGAGAAGUACAAUCAACAGCUACAAUUGGAGAACACUGCUGCAGAGCCGGUGCCUCAGGAGAAUCCUGCACCUGCUCCAUCCCCUGCUGCCCAGCAAGCCCCGACCGUGGCCAAUAGGGCACAACCACUGGCGGAGGCGCGCCGUGACAAGAACCAGAAGAAGGCGGUGCCCUUCUGGAUGGUGCUGGUCAUGUUUUCAGUUUUCGGGGCUGUGAUGGCGUUGCCCCUAAUGCAACUUUGACAAUAAUAAAGACAAUAAGAACGUGUGAUGCCAGGGCCGUAAUUUUGUAUAGUUUUCUAUUGGUUUGUCUGAGUGACUCAGUUGGUCCCCUAGACUACCUACCACCUCGGAGUCGUAUUGAUGAACCUGUGAUGGUAUAUCUGAAGAACUUUUGUUCUCAGUUCUCA